Molecule: long non-coding RNA, 517 nt
Filed under: Vombatus ursinus (common wombat)
Lineage: Eukaryota; Metazoa; Chordata; Mammalia; Diprotodontia; Vombatidae
Description: lncRNA (ENSVURG00010008293.1)
Source: RNAcentral
GGUAGGUCUACGCCCUGGGUGUGAAGUUUGGUUGUAUGUAAGGCCCAGGAGCAUCUAGCAUGGAGGUUCUACACCUGGGGUGGUCCUCUCUGGAACAUCUUCACGUCAGCUUCCAGUCUGAGAAAACAGGAGAAUGAGCAGCUGGGUCCCUCACAGAGGUGCCAUUAUCAUCUUGGGGAACCCUGAGAUGUUCAAGCCAGGAAUACAUAUUCAGACCAUACUCUAGUGAAUGGAGGAAUUGUCCUGGCCCAGAAUUUGAGGGCCCCACCUUCCUGUAUCCAGUUUUCUAAGCUAUAAUUUAGUGAAGCAAGUUGGGAAGAGGAGAUAUCAUUUCUCAAUUGGUACUAAAAAAAAGAAAGAAAAAAGCCUGAGGUUCGUGUGCUUACCAAAAUCUGCUAAUCCUACCCUUACAAGAUGAGACUCUACUUCUCAUGUUCUCCACAUAUCCCUCAGGCUCCCGGACUUUUUUGAGGCUACCAUCAUCCACUUUAGUUCAAUUGUACCUGUAAUAAAUAUG